CUCGGUCGAUGAUCAUCGCGGCUCAACCAUCCGCUCCGUUGCUCUCCGACUGCUCUCUCUCUCUCCGGGAGGACGAAAAUAGAAUUGUAAUAUUCAUUCACAAGAAAGAAAAAAAGAAGGAAAACUCGACCCGUAAAGAUGCCCCAUCCUAAGAUUUCCCACACGCUGCCCAUACCCGGGAAAGUAUUAGCGGCGCUCCUGUGCAUGGAAAGGCUGGUAGACUUUUCUUCUUGGCUUUCUGUCCCCGUACCUUGCCUCUGUAGGGAAAAUCUACUGGCGUUGCUGCUGCUGCUGCUGCUGCUGCCGCCGGUGCUGUUGGGAUGACUCAGACCGUAUAUGGUUGCGGGAGUAAAACCGAUUUUCCACUGUCCCUCCAGACCUACCCUCCAUUUAGCCUUGCGCCUGCCCUUCCGCCUGUGAGUCCGAGCUCAGCAGCAUAACAACAUGUGCACACGCAUCGUUCACGAAGCCGGCAUGCGCAGCCGCGAACCGUUUGUGUUAGUGCGCGCGUAAUGCUCCAUAAAUGAAUCUUUUUUUUCUUCUCUCUCUUUUCCUUCUCCGGCCUCCGUAGUAAUUUUGGGCGUACAUGCGCUGCUGUGUGCGUGUGCAACAGAAUAACUGCGGGGGUGUCAGCGUUCGGGUCAGAGCAGUCUUGGGAGGUAGCCGUGCAUGUGUGAGUGUGGGUUCGAAGAUGCCAAGGCAUAAUGUAUGUCCUUAAGGACCGGUGCGAAGUGCGGAGGAUACGGAGGGUAUUGGAAGGCAAAUCGAAACGGAAAAAAAUACACAACCUGCAAACCCCUGGGAUCGUUACACAAGUGUUGGUAAGCAGAUUCCCCGGUUCGUGUGUUGCGAGUGUGAAAAAAUCAAACAAAGAAUCCGUUCGUUACCUUAAAUGCCCACCAGAACACAACCCGUGAGCCAGACGCGUGGUUAGGACGGUUAGGACGCUAUGGCAAAUUUCUUUUAUUUUUGCUGCCCUGGUCAUUCCUGGGGUGAGCUGCCUUUUCACUCAUCGCAACAACAAGCUCCCUCCCCAUUUCCCAUUGUCCCCUUCCCUCGAUGUAUACGAAUGUUUUCCACCACACUUUUCUUCCACAAAAAUUCCACGGCUAUCCACGGAACCGCGCAAACCAGAGAGCCAGAGAAAAUGGUCCAACGUUUGCUUCUCAGUGUACGAAGGCAGGUGAAGUGUAGAAUGAACGGCCAAAAAAAACUGAGACGGAAAAUAUGAUGAAAGGUGGUUUCCCGAGACAAGACUCGGCCAGUAUUCGGACACAACAAUCCAUCGCGACUUAUUUGGCGCGACAACAUGCCGGCUCGAGUGUUUGCCAUAGCGAAGAUAACAUUUUAUUUGGCAUACAAUAGAGUAGAAUUGGUAUAUUUUUAUUUUAAACAUAAAGAUUCUAUUUUCAUGAUAAAGUUACGUUUUGUCAAUUACGUACUUAUCUUUAGUAAGAUGUUAUGUAUAAGUGCUCUGCUUUUCAAUCAUCAAGAAUUCACCUUCGAGAGGCAAAGUAUACAUAAAAAUUAUAAGAAACCCUAAGUCAACUACAAUUAUGUCGUAGCUGAUCAGUUAAACAUAAAAAAAACAACAUUUCUAUUGUAGCUUUCUGAUUUCACUGACAUGUAUAAAAGUUAGCUAAAGUAAUGAAAUAAUAAGUAUAUUCAUUCUUGAGCGUUA
Anopheles coluzzii is the source of this 1681-nucleotide long non-coding RNA. RefSeq lists it as uncharacterized. The transcript has 2 exons. Lineage: Eukaryota; Metazoa; Arthropoda; Insecta; Diptera; Culicidae. The record is from RefSeq and is a predicted model, not a curated record.